This 498-nucleotide ribosomal RNA is filed under the name uncultured bacterium. Its description in RNAcentral is "partial 16S ribosomal RNA". It matches the Rfam family "Bacterial small subunit ribosomal RNA", at positions 28 to 507 of the family's 1533-position model. The record is from RNAcentral.
GACGAACGCUGGCGGCGUGCCUAAUACAUGCAAGUCGAACGAGAGCGACCGGUGCUUGCACUGGUCAAUCUAGUGGCGAACGGGUGAGUAACACGUGGGUAACCUGCCCAUCAGAGGGGGAUAACAUCCGGAAACGGAUGCUAAAACCGCAUAGGUCUUCGAACCGCAUGGUUUGAAGAGGAAAAGAGGCGCAAGCUUCUGCUGAUGGAUGGACCCGCGGUGCAUUAGCUAGUUGGUGAGGUAACGGCUCACUAAGGCCGUGAUGCAUAGCCGACCUGAGAGGGUGAUCGGCCACAUUGGGACUGAGACACGGCCCAAACUCCUACGGGAGGCAGCAGUAGGGAAUCUUCCGCAAUGGACGCAAGUCUGACGGAGCAACGCCGCGUGAGUGAAGAAGGUUUUCGGAUCGUAAAACUCUGUUGUUAGAGAAGAACAAGUGCUAGAGUAACUGUUAGCGCCUUGACGGUAUCUAACCAGAAAGCCACGGCUAACUACGUG